GCUGGCGGCGUGCUUAACACAUGCAAGUCGAGCGGUAAGGCCCUUCGGGGUACACGAGCGGCGAACGGGUGAGUAACACGUGAGCAACCUGCCCCUGACUCCGGGAUAAGCCGGGGAAACCCGGUCUAAUACCGGAUGGGACGCCUCGUCGCAUGGCGGGGUGUGGAAAGGUGUCUUUCCGGUCAGGGAGGGGCUCGCGGCCUAUCAGCUUGUUGGUGGGGUGAAGGCCUACCAAGGCGAUUACGGGUAGCCGGCCUGAGAGGGCGACCGGCCACACUGGGACUGAGACACGGCCCAGACUCCUACGGGAGGCAGCAGUGGGGAAUAUUGCGCAAUGGGCGGAAGCCUGACGCAGCGACGCCGCGUGGGGGAUGACGGCCUUCGGGUUGUAAACCUCUUUUACCACCGACGCAGGCCCGCGCUUCUGUGCGGGUUGACGGUAGGUGGGGAAUAAGGACCGGCCAACUACGUGCCAGCAGCCGCGGUAAUACGUAGGGUCCGAGCGUUGUCCGGAAUUAUUGGGCGUAAAGAGCUCGUAGGUGGCGUGUCGCGUCUGCUGUGUAAGUCCGGGGCUUAACUCCGGUUUUGCAGUGGAUACGGGCAUGCUAGAGGUAGGCAGGGGAGACUGGAAUUCCUGGUGUAGCGGUGAAAUGCGCAGAUAUCAGGAGGAACACCGGUGGCGAAGGCGGGUCUCUGGGCCUUACCUGACGCUGAGGAGCGAAAGCGUGGGGAGCGAACAGGAUUAGAUAC
Molecule: ribosomal RNA, 750 nt
Filed under: Streptomonospora sp. YIM 90598
Lineage: Bacteria; Bacillati; Actinomycetota; Actinomycetes; Streptosporangiales; Nocardiopsidaceae
Also listed under: 2 other names
Description: bacterial SSU rRNA
Rfam family: Bacterial small subunit ribosomal RNA
Source: RNAcentral